UGGGCAGGUUGAAGGUUGGGUAACACUAACUGGAGGACCGAACCGACUAAUGUUGAAAAAUUAGCGGAUGACUUGUGGCUGGGGGUGAAAGGCCAAUCAAACCGGGAGAUAGCUGGUUCUCCCCGAAAGCUAUUUAGGUAGCGCCUCGUGAAUUCAUCUCCGGGGGUAGAGCACUGUUUCGGCAAGGGGGUCAUCCCGACUUACCAACCCGAUGCAAACUGCGAAUACCGGAGAAUGUUAUCACGGGAGACACACGGCGGGUGCUAACGUCCGUCGUGAAGAGGGAAACAACCCAGACCGCCAGCUAAGGUCCCAAAGUCAUGGUUAAGUGGGAAACGAUGUGGGAAGGCCCAGACAGCCAGGAUGUUGGCUUAGAAGCAGCCAUCAUUUAAAGAAAGCGUAAUAGCUCACUGGUCGAGUCGGCCUGCGCGGAAGAUGUAACGGGGCUAAACCAUGCACCGAAGCUGCGGCAGCGACGCUUAUGCGUUGUUGGGUAGGGGAGCGUUCUGUAAGCCUGUGAAGGUGUGCUGUGAGGCAUGCUGGAGGUAUCAGAAGUGCGAAUGCUGACAUAAGUAACGAUAAAGCGGGUGAAAAGCCCGCUCGCCGGAAGACCAAGGG
This 618-nucleotide ribosomal RNA is filed under the name Escherichia coli. RNAcentral describes it as "partial 23S ribosomal RNA". It matches the Rfam family "Bacterial large subunit ribosomal RNA", at positions 737 to 1351 of the family's 2925-position model. The record is from RNAcentral. Lineage: Bacteria; Pseudomonadati; Pseudomonadota; Gammaproteobacteria; Enterobacterales; Enterobacteriaceae.